This 106-nucleotide ribosomal RNA is filed under the name Pteropus alecto (black flying fox). Lineage: Eukaryota; Metazoa; Chordata; Mammalia; Chiroptera; Pteropodidae. The record is from RNAcentral.
GUCUACGGCCAUGCCACCCUGAACAAGCCCAAUCCCAUCUGAUCUUGGAAGCUACGCAGGGUCGGGCCUAGUUAGUACUUGGAUGGGAGACCAGGUGCUGUAGGCA